RNAcentral lists this ribosomal RNA (397 nucleotides) under uncultured bacterium. Its description in RNAcentral is "partial 16S ribosomal RNA". It matches the Rfam family "Bacterial small subunit ribosomal RNA", at positions 338 to 732 of the family's 1533-position model. The record is from RNAcentral.
CCUACGGGUGACAGCAGUGAGGAAUAUUGGUCAAUGGUCGCGAGCCUGAACCAGCCAAGUCGCGUGAAGGAUGACUGCACUACGGGUUGUAAACUUCUUUUAUCAAGGAAUAAAGUCAGGCACGUGUGCCUUUUUGUAUGUACUUUAUGAAUAAGGAUCGGCUAACUCCGUGCCAGCAGCCGCGGUAAUACGGAGGAUGCGGGCGUUAUCCGGAUUUAUUGGGUUUAAAGGGAGCGUAGAUGGGUUGUUAAGUCAGUGGUGAAAGUUUGCGGCUCAACCGUCACAUUGCAAUUGAUACUGGCAGUCUUGAGUACAGGUGAGGUAGGCGGAAUGCGUGGUGUAGCGGUGAAAUGCUUAGAUAUCACGAAGAACUCCGAUUGCGAAGGCAGCUUACUAA